This 1523-nucleotide ribosomal RNA is filed under the name metagenome. Its description in RNAcentral is "bacterial SSU rRNA". It matches the Rfam family "Bacterial small subunit ribosomal RNA". The record is from RNAcentral.
AGAGUUUGAUCAUGGCUCAGAUUGAACGCUGGCGGCAGGCCUAACACAUGCAAGUCGAACGGUAACAGGAAGAAGCUUGCUUCUUUGCUGACGAGUGGCGGACGGGUGAGUAAUGUCUGGGAAACUGCCUGAUGGAGGGGGAUAACUACUGGAAACGGUAGCUAAUACCGCAUAACGUCGCAAGACCAAAGAGGGGGACCUUCGGGCCUCUUGCCAUCGGAUGUGCCCAGAUGGGAUUAGCUAGUAGGUGGGGUAACGGCUCACCUAGGCGACGAUCCCUAGCUGGUCUGAGAGGAUGACCAGCCACACUGGAACUGAGACACGGUCCAGACUCCUACGGGAGGCAGCAGUGGGGAAUAUUGCACAAUGGGCGCAAGCCUGAUGCAGCCAUGCCGCGUGUAUGAAGAAGGCCUUCGGGUUGUAAAGUACUUUCAGCGGGGAGGAAAGGAGUAAAGUUAAUACCUUUGCUCAUUGACGUUACCCGCAGAAGAAGCACCGGCUAACUCCGUGCCAGCAGCCGCGGUAAUACGGAGGGUACAAGCGUUAAUCGGAAUUACUGGGCGUAAAGCGCACGCAGGCGGUUUGUUAAGUCAGAUGUGAAAUCCCCGGGCUCAACCUGGGAACUGCAUCUGAUACUGGCAAGCUUGAGUCUCGUAGAGGGGGGUAGAAUUCCAGGUGUAGCGGUGAAAUGCGUAGAGAUCUGGAGGAAUACCGGUGGCGAAGGCGGCCCCCUGGACGAAGACUGACGCUCAGGUGCGAAAGCGUGGGGAGCAAACAGGAUUAGAUACCCUGGUAGUCCACGCCGUAAACGAUGUCGACUUGGAGGUUGUGCCCUUGAGGCGUGGCUUCCGGAGCUAACGCGUUAAGUCGACCGCCUGGGGAGUACGGCCGCAAGGUUAAAACUCAAAUGAAUUGACGGGGGCCCGCACAAGCGGUGGAGCAUGUGGUUUAAAUUCGAUGCAACGCGAAGAACCUUACCUGGUCUUGACAUCCACGGAAGUUUUCAGAGAUGAGAAUGUGCCUUCGGGAACCGUGAGACAGGUGCUGCAUGGCUGUCGUCAGCUCGUGUUGUGAAAUGUUGGGUUAAGUCCCGCAACGAGCGCAACCCUUAUCCUUUGUUGCCAGCGGUCCGGCCGGGAACUCAAAGGAGACUGCCAGUGAUAAACUGGGGGAAGGUGGGGAUGACGUCAAGUCAUCAUGGCCCUUACGACCAGGGCUACACACGUGCUACAAUGGCGCAUACAAAGAGAAGCGACCUCGCGAGAGCAAGCGGACCUCAUAAAGUGCGUCGUAGUCCGGAUUGGAGUCUGCAACUCGACUCCAUGAAGUCGGAAUCGCUAGUAAUCGUGGAUCAGAAUGCCACGGUGAAUACGUUCCCGGGCCUUGUACACACCGCCCGUCACACCAUGGGAGUGGGUUGCAAAAGAAGUAGGUAGCUUAACCUUCGGGAGGGCGCUUACCACUUUGUGAUUCAUGACUGGGGUGAAGUCGUAACAAGGUAACCGUAGGGGAACCUGCGGUUG